UUAAGUGCGGAAUCUGAACUGGAGGAAGACCCAGGUUCCAAUUCUGCCUCAGGGGAGACCUCAGUUUCCCCAGGCCCUUAAGAGUGACCCAGGUACGUGGGGAGAGGCCCCUAGGCGGAGCCAGUCUCCCCUGCAUCCAGCCUGGCCUCGAUUCCCUGCUGGGGACUCCCCUCGAGGAAGGCUCUCCAGGGCCCUUGGGGGACUCCGAUCGCCGGGCUCCAGCCCGGUCCGGGUCGGUGACGUAGUCCCCGCUGCUCCUCCCUGAGCUCUCCCUUCCGCACCUCCCAGCUCACGGCGGGGCUGCGGCUUCUCGAGCCUGGGAGGUGCGGCCGGGCUAGCGGGCCAAAGACCCCCUCCUGGAGGCUGCCCCGGGACCGGGAAAGCGGCGGCGGCGGCCCCCCACACCCCAGUGGGGUCUGAGCAGCAACAGCCACGUGACUGUCCACGGCGCCCAGGGCAGCCAUCUUCCUCCGGCCAGCCCCCUAUGACGCCGGCCAAUCGCCAGGGAGGGCAGGGCAGGGCAGGACGCGGAGCCCGGAGCAGGCUGCGCGCACGCCCCGCCCAGCCCCGCGGAUACCUCUCCGGUCAGCCGUCACUUCCCGCCCCCUGCUCAUUUCCUCCAGUCCGGCCAGCUUAGGCCUCCGGCUCUUCUGCGGCCCCCUUCGGAGGCGCGAUGCUGCCCAGUGCAGGCCCCCAGCGCGGAGGGAGGACCUGCUUCCCAUCUCAGCAGCUGGCAUGCAGAGUCCAGGCAGGGAGCCUGAGGGGUGCCCGGGGCAGCCCCCCUUUUUACUGAGAAGGAGCGAAAGCCCCGGGAAGGCACGCAGGUAAGCGGUAGAACUGAGAACUCGAAGGGACCACAGAGGGCUAAAGCCCGACGGCCCAGUUUACAGAAGAAGAAACUGAGGCCCGGGGAAAAGACUUUGUCUCCAGAUCCGAGAUUAAGAGCCGCAAUGGCCCCCUUGGGCCAACCCCCUCCGGCAUUUCAUUGCCUCAGGGAACCCCCAGUGGGGAAAGACCUCUGGGGCGCAGUUAAUAGCUGGAGGGUCUCCUGGGAGCAGUCAGUCAAUCCCCGGCCUUUGAUUGGGUCCCCGCUAAGGGCCCACCCCCGGGCUCAGUGGUGGGAUGAGCCAGGCGCUGCCCUUCUGGAGCUCAGCCUCUGUCUAAAGGGGAGACCACCAGCAAACUGAAGGCAGGCGCUCCGGGGACAGCUUGGAGAGCCUGAGGGGCUUCGGAGAAAGGAGGCUGCGCUGUCCGGUUUGGGAUUGGGCGGGAGAGGCGGAGCUGAGAGGCCAGAGCCCAGAAAUGAUCUUGAAGUGCUCGGGAGCUGAUGAGGUCACAGAGCGAGGUAGUACCGAGGGAGAAGAGGCUCAGAGCAGAGCCCUGGAGGUUGAGGACCAACGGAGGAGGCCCAGGAGGUACCGGAGGCAGGUGGUGUCCUCCUUGGGCUUUAAGAGAGCCCCGAAUUUGCCUCUGGACCAGACCUGGGAUUUGUUGGCUGACUAAGGGGACCCCCGCCCCCCCCAGACUGAUCUUGUCUCUUCUGAGACCCCAGGGCCACGCAGAGUUCUGCCUCACCUGCGGAAUUCCAUACAUCCUAUGGGAGCCCAGCAUUUGAAUCCAGGGCACACCAGCCCCAGGGCCAGACUCCCUUCCGGUCACAGCCAUCAUUUUUACUGGUGAAGAAACUAAGGCGCCCAGAGGGCAGGAAGAGCCCCUUCAUAGGAUCAUAGAUUUGGAGUGGGAGCUUGGAGGCCCCGGAGUCCAAACCCCCCCUUUGACAAAUAAGGAAACUGAGGCAUGGGGACGAGCCUAGAAGAUUUUUUUUGGAGUUUGUUUUUUACUUAAACCCUUUUCUGGGGCAGCUGAGUGCUCAGUGGAUUGAGAGCCAAACCUAAAAACAGGAGGUCCUGGGUUCCAAUCUGGCUUCAGACACUCCUUCAGCAUGCCACCCUGGGCAAGUCACUUCACACACACACACACACCCAAUUACCCAGCCUUCACCCCUCUCCUGCCUUAAAACCAACACACAGUAGUAAUUCUAAGGCAGAUGGUGGGGGUUUAAAAAUAAAGAGGGGGCAGCUGGGUGGCUCAGUGGAUGGAGAGCCAGGCCUAGAGAUGGGAGGUCCUGGGUUCCAAUCUGGCCUCAGACACUUCCCAGCUCUGUGACCCUGGGUAAGUCACUUGACCCCCAUUGCCUAGUCCUUACCAGUCUUCUGCUUUGGAACCAAUACACAGUAUUGAUUCUAAGAUGGAAGGUGAGGGUUUUAAUAAAUUAAUUAAUUAAUUAAUGAACAAAUAGAUAGACAAAUGAAUAAAUAAAUAGAAUAUAAAAUAAAAAUAAAUUAAAUUUUUAAAAAACCCCUCCUAUCCUCAAUCAAUACUAAGGAAGAAGAGUGAUAAGGGCCCAGCAAUAGGGGGGAGGGGGGGAGUGACUUGCCCAGGGUCACACUGCUAGGAAGUGUCUGGGGCCAGAUUGGAACCCAGGACCUGCCACUACCUCAGUGUCCCCCAGAGCUGGGUUUGAGAUAUCAGCCAAUAACCUUUUGGACAGAGUACCUGGGAGAGCUGGGCCCCUGGGCCUCGGACCUUUAAACAGCAACUCCUGAAGCUCAGAAAGGUAAAGCAUUCGCAGGCAGCCACAGAUCAGGCAGAACUUGAUCUCAGGACUUGGGCUCCCGGCCUCUAAAGAAGGCCACAGCCACCCUAAUUUCCUGGCUUGCUUCCCAUCAGGCUGCUAUUGGAUGAUCUCCUGAAGAAGGGCGGUGCGGUGGGAGCUAGAUGUUGUCGGUUUCCCAUUUUGUAGGCCUUGGGCUUCCCCGUCUGUCCUCCUUUCUCCGAUGAAAGACUAGCUUGGAUAACCAAUGACUUUUUUGCAAUGUGACUCCUGAAACCAAACAGUGAUCUGUCAGACAACUGUCACUGCCACUCUUGGAUCCCGCUUGGACCCCAUCUUAUUGAUGUCUGCGACCCCCUGGCUUCAUUUGACCGCUUUAUCACACCAUUAACACCAUGACACCUUCAAGUGGACUCACACUGACACAUUUUUCCCACCCUGUAACUUCCUUCAGAUAACAGGGAGGGCAGAGUUAGUUUCAUCAUUUGAGAUGGAAAGAGUUAAACAUGUAAUUCUCUUUGAGAGGUUAUCCUGCCUCUGAAAUAUACAGUUUACCCAGAAUAGCCAAUAGCAGCUCUUUCUUAUCGGGGCUUCUAACAAAAAGGGAAACACAACUCAGUCCAAGAAGACUCUGCCACUCAUCCUGGGCGACCCCAGAAGUGGGUUAGUGUGGUUUCGCUCCAUCCUUCCUGCUCCAUGUGACAGCUGCUUGUGUAAAAGGGAGCCAGUUUCAGCUGACUAUAAAAGGAAACUUUGUCAUCAUUAGAAUGGUGCAAAAAUAGAAAGAACUUCAAAAUGUCCAGGUUGUCUGACCACUUGUAACAAAUAUUGUAAAUAGACUGCAUCCUUGGGGGAAGGUUUAGGUUAGAUCAGGCAUCCUUAGCCUUUUAUGGGUCAUAGACCCCUGACUGUGAACCUCUUCUCAGAAUCCAUUUUUAUUUCCUACAUUUGUAACUGAAGAAAAUGAUCAAUUUCAGUUCAAGUGAUGAAAAUAAAGAUUGAAUUUCUCCCCAUCCAAGUUCCCAGGGACCCUGAUAUCUCUUAUCACUCCAGAACUAGAUCUCUGAUCCUAUUAAAUACUGCCUUUGUUGGUUAGUACCUGUAUGACCCUGGGAAAGCAACACACUCUUUGGGCCCCAGGUUCAUUCUCAUAAACAAGGAGAUUGUACUAGGUAGCCUCUGGGAUCCAUUCCACCUCCAGACCUUUGUUCCUGUGUCCUCUCAGAGCCUCAGUUUCCCCAAAUGUAAACUUCUCCAUUGGUCAAGUUUCUCCUUUGCAAAAUGGAGAUAAAAACCCUCCCCUACUUGGUUGUAAGGCAAUUAAAAUGAAUGUACAAUAACUCGAGUAUUAUGAGAUUUAUUAAUAACAACUUGAAAUAAAGGACUAGAGUAAAACCCACCUAACUCAACCCUGAGGAAGAGAGGGCGGAGACACCAAACUAUAUACAAAUGUGACCUGCAAUGUGGUGGAGAGAGGAGAGGAAUUCUGGGAAAUACUGAAGGACUUCUGGGGGAUGAAGUCCAAGGUUCAAAAUUCUAAUUAAUACAAGGCCAUGUGAAUAGACGAGAUUUCUACUUUUUUCAGUGGGUUCUAGUAGCCAAGAAUAAAUCCACUUUCAGGAAGAGAAGAGCAGUCCUGAGAGGUGUCUGGAACCACCCAAUGAGCUGUUGCAUGAAAAGAUGACCGUUCACAGCAGGAAGUGGGCUACUUCAAGACUGACUCACUUGUUCAGCUUCAACAGAAGAGCCCAGGGUGAAACUGAGGCAUUCUCAGCUCUUUGGUGUGGUCUUCUGGAAGCAAUUCCCCAAUGGGAAACCCAAACCCACUGAGUAAGACCAGGUGAGCCAGGUAGAACGGGAUUCCCCUCCUGCCUCUGCCUCAUCCUUGAUGCUUUCCUCACCUCUUUAAGCCUUGAUUUCCCUCUCUGUAAAAUGGAGAGAAUAAUGUCCAUACUAAUUAGCUCUGCCAGGUGUCUGAGGAUCAAAAGAGAAGGCCACAGAGCUGCUUUUACAGAGCGUGCCAAGUCCUGUUAUUAAAGGGAUGUAAACAACGUUCUUGGGCCAAAGCAUUUCACUGUCUGAGCACUGAGAUCGAGCCGCCAAAAAAGAUUUGUUGCCUCCAGAAGCUCAUAGUACAGGCUGGGGGAAAGCGAGAGUUUGAACGAGGGCCUGAUUUUUAUUACUGAAUAUCUUCCUCAUCUUCCCUAAAAUAUGAGCUCCUGAAAGGGAGGCACCUGGAGGUCAGCCCCUAUUCAGAACUAGCGCUUUAGCCCACACCAGUGUUGCCCUUUUGACAGACCAACCCAGAGGACACAUUCAUUUCGAGCAAAAGGCAUUUAAUUAAACAGCAUCACCUAGGAAGGUAGAGACAAGAAAACUAUGUCUCCCCCUCCCCCAUACCCAUAAGGUGGCACUUUACUGACAAUUCCUACACCUGAGAGAUGCAUAGGGAAUAUGCCAGGAAGAAGGAAUGGAUCACAAAUGUGCCCAAAGCCACCAGCCCUUCCCUACCUACUGAGCUUCCCUAAACUCCUGAUGGCUUCUGCUGAGCCAUACAAAUCACCGGUGUCACCUGCACUGUGCCAGGAUCAGCUGAUACAGGCUGCAAAGAACAGAAAAGGCCAUCCAGUACAACCCCAUCAUUUUAUGAAAAAGGCCUGACUAAAGUCAUAACAGAGUCAGUAGCAAAGCCAAGAUCUGAAACCCAGAACUUCUGAUUCCCAAUCCAGUCCUCAUCCCCUCUCCCAGGCUCCUUCUCCACUGAAUCCUUGCCAUCUGCUAAGCUGCCUCAAAGAAGAGUGGUUAUUACAUUUUGUAUGUGUUUAGCCCAUAGCCUCAAGUCUAUUUUAUU
This is a non-coding RNA of Monodelphis domestica (gray short-tailed opossum), 5465 nucleotides long. Lineage: Eukaryota; Metazoa; Chordata; Mammalia; Didelphimorphia; Didelphidae. The record is from RefSeq and is a predicted model, not a curated record.